RNAcentral lists this ribosomal RNA (732 nucleotides) under Staphylococcus haemolyticus. Its description in RNAcentral is "bacterial SSU rRNA". It matches the Rfam family "Bacterial small subunit ribosomal RNA", at positions 54 to 769 of the family's 1533-position model. Lineage: Bacteria; Bacillati; Bacillota; Bacilli; Caryophanales; Staphylococcaceae. The record is from RNAcentral.
CAUGCAGUCGAGCGAACAGACAAGGAGCUUGCUCCUUUGACGUUAGCGGCGGACGGGUGAGUAACACGUGGGUAACCUACCUAUAAGACUGGGAUAACUUCGGGAAACCGGAGCUAAUACCGGAUAAUAUUUCGAACCGCAUGGUUCGAUAGUGAAAGAUGGUUUUGCUAUCACUUAUAGAUGGACCCGCGCCGUAUUAGCUAGUUGGUAAGGUAACGGCUUACCAAGGCGACGAUACGUAGCCGACCUGAGAGGGUGAUCGGCCACACUGGAACUGAGACACGGUCCAGACUCCUACGGGAGGCAGCAGUAGGGAAUCUUCCGCAAUGGGCGAAAGCCUGACGGAGCAACGCCGCGUGAGUGAUGAAGGUCUUCGGAUCGUAAAACUCUGUUAUUAGGGAAGAACAUACGUGUAAGUAACUAUGCACGUCUUGACGGUACCUAAUCAGAAAGCCACGGCUAACUACGUGCCAGCAGCCGCGGUAAUACGUAGGUGGCAAGCGUUAUCCGGAAUUAUUGGGCGUAAAGCGCGCGUAGGCGGUUUUUUAAGUCUGAUGUGAAAGCCCACGGCUCAACCGUGGAGGGUCAUUGGAAACUGGAAAACUUGAGUGCAGAAGAGGAAAGUGGAAUUCCAUGUGUAGCGGUGAAAUGCGCAGAGAUAUGGAGGAACACCAGUGGCGAAGGCGACUUUCUGGUCUGUAACUGACGCUGAUGUGCGAAAGCGUGGGGAUC